Molecule: transfer RNA, 76 nt
Filed under: Deinococcus roseus
Lineage: Bacteria; Thermotogati; Deinococcota; Deinococci; Deinococcales; Deinococcaceae
Description: tRNA-Trp
Rfam family: tRNA
About the family: Transfer RNA (tRNA) molecules are approximately 80 nucleotides in length. Their secondary structure includes four short double-helical elements and three loops (D, anti-codon, and T loops).
Source: RNAcentral
GGGUCCUUAGCUCAGUUGGUAGAGCAUGCGUCUCCAAAACGCAGGGUCGUAGGUUCGAGUCCUUCAGGGCCCGCCA